GGUGGCUCAGUGGUAGAGCGCUUGCCUUGUAUGCAUGAGGCCCUGGGUUCAAGUUCCCAGCACCA
Molecule: transfer RNA, 65 nt
Filed under: Dipodomys ordii (Ord's kangaroo rat)
Lineage: Eukaryota; Metazoa; Chordata; Mammalia; Rodentia; Heteromyidae
Rfam family: tRNA
About the family: Transfer RNA (tRNA) molecules are approximately 80 nucleotides in length. Their secondary structure includes four short double-helical elements and three loops (D, anti-codon, and T loops).
Source: Rfam by way of RNAcentral